AAUGAACGUUGGCGGCGUGGAUUAGGCAUGCAAGUCGAGCGAGAACCGUAGCAAUACGGGGACAGCGGCGAAAGGGAGAGGAACACGUGGACAACCUACCCUCGGGUUCAGGAUAGCUAUGGGAAACUAUAGGUAAUACUGAAUGACAUCUCCGGAUCAAAGGUGAGAUUCCGCCCGGGAGGGUCCGCGUCCUAUUAGCUUGUUAGGUGAGGUAACGGCUCUACCAAGGCUGUGAUUGGGUACGGAUGUGAGAGCAUGAUCCCGCUCAUUGGGACUGAGACACUGCCCAGACACCUACGGGUGGCUG
Molecule: ribosomal RNA, 307 nt
Filed under: uncultured Planctomycetota bacterium
Lineage: Bacteria; Pseudomonadati; Planctomycetota
Description: bacterial SSU rRNA
Rfam family: Bacterial small subunit ribosomal RNA
Source: RNAcentral